Molecule: ribosomal RNA, 577 nt
Filed under: Boana multifasciata group sp. ABGD cluster 71
Lineage: Eukaryota; Metazoa; Chordata; Amphibia; Anura; Hylidae
Description: partial large subunit ribosomal RNA
Rfam family: Bacterial large subunit ribosomal RNA
Source: RNAcentral
CAAAAACAUCGCCUUUUGAUAUAAAUAUAAAAGGUCCAGCCUGCCCAGUGACCUAGUUCAACGGCCGCGGUAUCCUAACCGUGCGAAGGUAGCGUAAUCACUUGUUCUUUAAAUGAGGACUAGUAUGAAUGGCACCACGAGGGUUAAACUGUCUCCUUUUUCUAAUCAGUGAAACUAAUCUCCCCGUGAAGAAGCGGGGAUUACCAUAUAAGACGAGAAGACCCUAUGGAGCUUAAAACAAAUUAACACCUGCUUCCAUCUAUUUUUAUUCCCGAGCUAACACAUAAAAUACAGCAUUAUUGAUUAAUAGUUUUCGAUUGGGGUGAUUAUGGAGUAAAAAUUAACCUCCACGACGAAAGGGCCACUUCCCUGAGCUAAAAGCUACAACUUUAAGCACUAAAAAAUUAACGCACUUUGACCCAAAUUUUUGAGCAACGAACCAAGUUACCCUAGGGAUAACAGCGCAAUCCAUUUCAAGAGCCCCUAUCGACAAAUGGGUUUACGACCUCGAUGUUGGAUCAGGGUAUCCUAGUGGUGCAGCAGCUACUAAGGGUUCGUUUGUUCAACGAUUAAAACC